This 253-nucleotide ribosomal RNA is filed under the name uncultured bacterium. RNAcentral's name for it is "partial 16S ribosomal RNA". It matches the Rfam family "Bacterial small subunit ribosomal RNA", at positions 524 to 776 of the family's 1533-position model. The record is from RNAcentral.
UACAGAGGGUGCUAGCGUUGUUCGGAAUCAUUGGGCGUAAAGGGCGUGUAGGCGGUUUGUUAAGUCAUGUGUGAAAUCCCUCGGCUCAACCGGGGAACGACGCAUGAAACUGGCAAGCUAGAGUACCAAAGAGGGGGGUGGAAUUCCCGGUGUAGCGGUGAAAUGCGUAGAGAUGUGGAGGAACACCGAUGGCGAAGGCAGCCCCCUGGGUCAAGAUUGACGCUCAUGCACGAAAGCGUGGGGAGCAAACAGG